RNAcentral lists this long non-coding RNA (1131 nucleotides) under Canis lupus familiaris (dog). RNAcentral describes it as "lncRNA (ENSCAFG00040010918.1)". The record is from RNAcentral. Lineage: Eukaryota; Metazoa; Chordata; Mammalia; Carnivora; Canidae.
AAUAGCCCCAGCAAGUAGCUCUGCAUCAUCACAAUCUCCUGUGCGUGGACCCCCCAACCCAUGCCCUGGCUCCCAGCACACUGCUGGCUGGCACUCCUGGGGCCCAAGAAAGGAGUAAAUGCAGAAACCCCUGAAUGACAGGGUCAGGGUAAAUUAAAGAAAGCAGAGAAGACAGAGACAAGGGAGAACAGGUGAGGGGUCUGGAAGGGGAGACCACUUACAGAGGCUCAGGAAGGAGGGAGGGGAGAGUCAGGAGAAUGUGAAACUCAGAAUGCAAACAAAUUGAUUAGGAUGAUAGUUGAGGAGUAACACAAACAGCUGGCUUCAGUUUAGGUCACAAGAACUGGAUAUCACAAGGGAAGUAAAGGAGAGGACCCUGCUCCUUGGCGUGAUGUUUUGUUUUAGGGCAAUGAGAUGUUCUGGAGGCUGAUGGUGUUGGUUGCACGGUAGUGACUAUACUAAAAAGCACUAAAAAAUAAUAAUAAUAAAAAAUAAAAAGCACUAAAUUAUACAUUUUCAAAGGGUCUAUGUAAACUCUCUCUCCAAAGGAAAACAAAGGAAUAGUCUAUUAGAAAUUCAGCAUGGUGAUUCCAUCUGGGGUGUGGGCACACGGAGCUUCUAGACACUUGAAACAUUCACUCAAUUAUUGGUGGUCAUGCCCAGGGUUGACUGUCUUACUCAUUAAACUGUAGAGAUAUGCUCUACUCACACUUUUUUUUUUUAAUUUUUAUUUAUUCAUGAUAGGCACACAGUGAGAGAGAGAGAGGCAGAGACACAGGCAGAGGGAGAAGCAGGCUCCAUGCACCGGGAGCCCGACGUGGGAUUCGAUCCCGGGUCUCCAGGAUCCGCCCUGGGCCAAAGGCAGGCGCCAAACCGCUGCGCCACCCAGGGAUCCCCAUCUACUCACACUUUUGUAAAUGUAUACAAAUAUGACAAAUAUUUAAAAUAUGAAAACAAACCAGGGAAGAUACAGCAGCAGAAAUCUCUAACAGGAUGGAGAUGCAACAGGAUGGGAACACGUGUUAGGAGAUGCUCAGGCUACCCUGCAGGCCCUAGGGUACUUCUGCCAGCUGCCCCCAUGCCAGCAGUCGAGGUGGCUUCCUGUGGUUAGGAUUCUCACUUCUACUGGAA